This 1878-nucleotide long non-coding RNA is filed under the name Triticum aestivum (bread wheat). Its description in RNAcentral is "long non-coding RNA (TAES_LNC010194)". Lineage: Eukaryota; Viridiplantae; Streptophyta; Magnoliopsida; Poales; Poaceae. The record is from RNAcentral.
CCACGUGUAUAACAAUAGGUACACUCCAGGUACAUUCAAGCAUAGGAAGUACUACCAAGGAGCUAAAACACGUACUAACAGCAAACAUGUACAUUCAAGCAUCCACGUAGCUACCAAGUAGCUACCAUUUCUACCAGCAGCAGCAACAGCCGCCUGAAAGACAAGGAGGUACUACCACCACCAGCAGCAACCAUCCAUCACCACCAGCGGCGACAUUUCAAAGACGCCCUCCCCUUGUUGUUGCUUGGCGUGCUGCAUCACAAGUCCCCCUAGACACACAAAAUUUAGAUGUUCAAAACAUAUCAACAUGUUGAGCAGAUAGGGAAUCAUGGAGCAAAUGUUAGUGUGGUGCAAGGCGACAGAUUACAUGAUUAAAUAUUAACAGAAGAAGAAUCGUUGAAUAAAUCGUGUGAAAUGGCAUGGUGGAUUUGGAAAGUAACAUUCAAGCGGCAGUUUGAAUCGAUGAGCAGACUAUACAGAUUCUAACAAGGCUACAAGGUUACAAGGCUACACAUUUGAACACAAGAAGCCAUAAAUUUGAACAACCAAAUUAAGAAUAGGAGUAGAUCAACAAUUGCAUAGCAACUAAAUUCUAAAUAUCACUAACCAACAAUACCCAAAUGACGUGGUGCGGCGACACAGAAACAUGGAAACCAACACAAAGUCUGCCAAAAUUUCAUCGCAUCACCGAGCAAACACUGAGAUCAGGUGGAAGAGGCCAACACUGAAUAGAGCGGUAACAGAGAGGGAAUGGGGGAGCGGAUAAAUUACAACAUCACAAAAGAUACUUCCACUUCUCACCAUCGACCUUGCAAACCUGCGAUUUAAACACAAAUCAGGACACGGGAUUUGCAAGAAAAACUAUCACAGCACGAGUUCGAAUAAGAACAAGGAGAUAGGAGCGGGAGCAAAGGGAACCGAGAUGCUUACCAUGGAGACCUGCUUGAUGUUGGAGUCCUUCCUGAAUAUGUCCCUGCAAAAAUAGAACCAAAAUGGGCCCCGGUCAGGACGCGUCACCACGCCACAGAAACAACAUGAAUCGAACCACAACAACAAAUCAGAUCUCGGGCUCACAUGAGGACUAAGACAGCGCUUGGGCUUGUUGUUGUCUUUCUUGGCCUUGCUCUUCUUCACCACAAGUCUGCAUCACCACAGAAACAAUAGCAGCAAAGCGAAUCAGAACCCAACGCGAAACAACAUCAGGGAAACCCAAGCAGAACCACCACCGGAAAUGAGUCCAUCACCUAAAACCAAACAAAAAUGAACAAUCCAAAAGAUGUAGUAUGAGUAUGUACAUUACAAGGAACAAUUUUUUGCAUUGACAACAGAAGCUAUGCUCACAAAUUUGUAUUGUAGGUACAGGAAAUGUGCCAGAAAUCAUAUAAGCAUACACAAUUACACACAUGAUACUUAGAUCACACUGUCAAUGCAUACUACACGAGUCACUCUUAUGAGAUAAUGGCAUGUAGCUGUACGCAGCUACUUGACCAUGACAAUUUAUACUACACGAGUCACUCUUAUAUAAUAUAAUUGAACAAAACACUGCCAUGCAUUUACUGGACUAUGAUCAGGUGCAAGUUGAUGAGAAUCAUCAUGCUGAAACUGAUACAACCACAUCAUAUCCUUCUAACGUUCCUAGUUCACUCAGAAAACACUUCACCAACAUCACAUAAUUGCAGUCUGAAAGCACAAUUCACUCAAAAGGACACAAAUCAGUAUGCACAAGUGUUGGACCUUCAAAUAAGCAUACUUGAAUUCACUGGUAAGCAUUAGCAGAACUAAUAUAUAUUUUUGCAUGAUCUUAGUGUAUCUCUACAUCACAUAGAUUCACCCACUCUAUCACUACCAAUUCUACUACAGAGUAAGAAUGGAAUGAUG